RNAcentral lists this ribosomal RNA (585 nucleotides) under uncultured bacterium. RNAcentral describes it as "bacterial SSU rRNA". It matches the Rfam family "Bacterial small subunit ribosomal RNA", at positions 338 to 916 of the family's 1533-position model. The record is from RNAcentral.
CCUACGGGAGGCAGCAGUGGGGAAUUUUGGACAAUGGGCGCAAGCCUGAUCCAGCAAUGCCGCGUGAGUGAAGAAGGCCUUCGGGUUGUAAAGCUCUUUUGUCAGGGAAGAAACGGUGGAGGUUAAUACCUUCUGCUAAUGACGGUACCUGAAGAAUAAGCACCGGCUAACUACGUGCCAGCAGCCGCGGUAAUACGUAGGGUGCAAGCGUUAAUCGGAAUUACUGGGCGUAAAGCGUGCGCAGGCGGUUGUGCAAGACAGAUGUGAAAUCCCCGGGCUCAACCUGGGAAUUGCAUUUGUGACUGUACGGCUAGAGUGUGUCAGAGGGGGGUAGAAUUCCACGUGUAGCAGUGAAAUGCGUAGAGAUGUGGAGGAAUACCGAUGGCGAAGGCAGCCCCCUGGGAUAACACUGACGCUCAUGCACGAAAGCGUGGGGAGCAAACAGGAUUAGAUACCCUGGUAGUCCACGCCCUAAACGAUGUCUACUAGUUGUCGGGUCUUUAUUGACUUGGUAACGCAGCUAACGCGUGAAGUAGACCGCCUGGGGAGUACGGUCGCAAGAUUAAAACUCAAAGGAAUUGACGG